CCUACGGGAGGCAGCAGUGAGGAAUAUUGGACAAUGGGCGCAAGCCUGAUCCAGCCAUGCCGCGUGCAGGAAGACGCAUCUAUGGUGUGUAAACUGCUUUUGUACGGGAAGAAACACUCCUUCGUGAAGGAGCUUGACGGUACCGUAAGAAUAAGGAUCGGCUAACUCCGUGCCAGCAGCCGCGGUAAUACGGAGGAUCCAAGCGUUAUCCGGAAUCAUUGGGUUUAAAGGGUCCGUAGGCGGUUUAAUAAGUCAGUGGUGAAAUCUGGUCGCCCAACGAUCAAACGGCCAUUGAUACUGUUAGACUUGAAUUACUAGGAAGUAACUAGAAUAUGUAGUGUAGCGGUGAAAUGCUUAGAUAUUACAUGGAAUACCAAUUGCGAAGGCAGGUUACUACUAGUGGAUUGACGCUGAUGGACGAAAGCGUGGGGAGCGAACAGGAUUAGAUACCCUGGUAGUCCACGCCGUAAACGAUGGAUACUAGCUGUUGGGCGCAAGUUCAGUGGCUAGGCGAAAGUGAUAAGUAUCCACCUGGGGAGUACGUUCGCAAGAAUGAAACUCAAAGGAAUUAGACGGCUGAGACGNGCGAGAGACACGAGGAGGAGG
Molecule: ribosomal RNA, 606 nt
Filed under: uncultured bacterium
Lineage: Bacteria
Description: bacterial SSU rRNA
Rfam family: Bacterial small subunit ribosomal RNA
Source: RNAcentral